Molecule: non-coding RNA, 74 nt
Organism: Octopus bimaculoides (California two-spot octopus)
Lineage: Eukaryota; Metazoa; Mollusca; Cephalopoda; Octopoda; Octopodidae
Source: Rfam
GGCAGUUUGGCUUAAAUGGUAAAGCAUUCUAACCGGAUAUUAGAGGGAUGUGAGUUCGAUCCUCAUGGCUGGCU